GACGAUCGCUGGCGGCGUGCUUAACACAUGCAAGUCGAACGGAAAGGCCCUGCUUUUGUGGGGUGCUCGAGUGGCGAACGGGUGAGUAACACGUGAGUAACCUGCCCUUGACUUUGGGAUAACUUCAGGAAACUGGGGCUAAUACCGGAUAGGAGCUCCUGCUGCAUGGUGUGGGUUGGAAAGUUUCGGCGGUUGGGGAUGGACUCGCGGCUUAUCAGCUUGUUGGUGGGGUAGUGGCUUACCAAGGCUUUGACGGGUAGCCGGCCUGAGAGGGUGACCGGCCACAUUGGGACUGAGAUACGGCCCAGACUCCUACGGGAGGCAGCAGUGGGGAAUAUUGCACAAUGGGCGGAAGCCUGAUGCAGCAACGCCGCGUGCGGGAUGACGGCCUUCGGGUUGUAAACCGCUUUCGCCUGUGACGAAGCGUGAGUGACGGUAAUGGGUAAAGAAGCACCGGCUAACUACGUG
RNAcentral lists this ribosomal RNA (468 nucleotides) under uncultured bacterium. RNAcentral's name for it is "partial 16S ribosomal RNA". It matches the Rfam family "Bacterial small subunit ribosomal RNA", at positions 28 to 507 of the family's 1533-position model. The record is from RNAcentral.